AAAUCAUAGUGUGGGCACAGUUUGAGCAUGUUUUUAAAUCUAUCCCAAGCUUCAUAUAAAGAUUCUGUGUCGUCCUACCAGAAGCUAGCAAUUAAAUUAUGCAUAU
Small nucleolar RNA from Zingiber officinale, 106 nucleotides. NCBI's taxonomy places the organism in Eukaryota, Viridiplantae, Streptophyta, Magnoliopsida, Zingiberales, Zingiberaceae. The record is from RefSeq and is a predicted model, not a curated record.